CCAAAAAAAGCUCAACAAUUUUGGCUGCCUCUCCCUAACAAAAAUCUGACACUAUAUCCCUAUCUCUUUCAGACUAGUGUUUAUCAGGGGGUGGGUGUUUCUAAGACAUGCAAGUUUUUCCACACAAUGCCAUUGGCCUCAAAACGCCAGUCCACCUUUUCCUCUGCAUUUAGUCUGGAUUACCCUUUUGGUGAAAAAUAUGAUAAAUUCAUAUUUACGAGGACUGAUGCCAGAAAACUGUGUGCACUACCUGAACCACAUGUUUACAGUAUUAAACCCCCAUCUGGAAGCAGUUCUCUCUGACUUCACCUAACAGAGCAUCAAAUUCCCCAGCUAUCAAUUUUCCAUUCACUCUCCGCUUACACUUCCAUAGACUCAUUGAAGUCAAUGAUAUUUAAGUUAGGCACCACCCGUUGAUUUCAACCGCUUAAUCAUGAAUAAAGUCUGGAUCUAGCCAAUUAUUUGUGUAUACCAGAUGUACAAAAGCAGUACACUGUCUCUAAACUGACCACAUCUGUGGUCAGUGAAAGCUUGCCAUUUUACAAAUGGGAGUAAUAUAUAACUAGCCAGCAUUCAUUUCCGUUUUUUUUUUAAAAAAAGGUUUCCAUUGUAAAUAAGAGAACGAUUGUGUUGGAAAGCUGGAUUAAAAAUAAGAUUACGUGGCAAA
Molecule: long non-coding RNA, 667 nt
Organism: Podarcis raffonei (Aeolian wall lizard)
Lineage: Eukaryota; Metazoa; Chordata; Lepidosauria; Squamata; Lacertidae
Exons: 2
Source: RefSeq, a predicted model, not a curated record